GCCUUACAGCCUGUGGUGGUUGCCGAAGAACUUUAAUUACAGUGUCAGAGUGUUCAGGGACAGUCCCAACUCCCUUCAUGUGAGGAUUGCAGAAAUGGGCUUGGAUCGUAUACAGACAGCGUUAUGAGGCAUUGCUGAAGAACAGUAAGUUCUUACACAGAAGUUGUCAACUAAUAUAUGCAUUUUCUUUGCCAUACCCCAAGAGGCAGGAGCUGAUUCCUAUAUAGUUAGGAUAUAGCUGACCAAUGUUCUCUUUAAAUGUAAUUUCCAUCUGCCACAUUUUAAAUUACAGGUUUUUGCAUCAGGAAACUGUUGGGUCCAAUUAUUUGGUGCCUUGGAAAGGGCAUUAAAUGCAUAGUGAGAAGAUCCUGGUUUAAUCUGACAUUCCACUUACUAGGUGUAGAAGCUUGAGCAAGUUAAUUAAUCUUUGAGUCUGUAUACCCAGCUGCAAAAUGAGGAUAAUGCUUAUCUUACAGAGUGUUGUGAAAGCAAUGAAGAUUGUGUGAAAGGGUUUCAUAAACUGACAAGCACUGCACAAAUGUAAGGUCCCCUAAGGAAAACCUUUUCAAAACUCAAAAUCUAUAUGAACAGAGAUACUUAUUCAUGUUGGGUGGAAUGUUUUACAGCCAUUAAAAAUUGUAAGAGAAAAUAUAUUGAAAAAUACAAUCUAAAAUGGUGAGUUUGCAAUUACAACAGUGUAAAACCUGUGUACAUAGACUAGAAUAUGGAAAAAAUGGAUUACAGGGUAGUGGAAUUGAGUGACUUUUGCUUUAAAGACUCUUAGGUAUAUUAGGUGUAUUCAGUUUAGUUCAAUAAACUUUUAUUGAGCUCUCACUCUCCCAAUCCCCGUGCUAGAUUCUAUGAGUGCUGAGACAAAUAGGACAUACUCCCUGCUCUCAGAGACUCCCAUUCUGUACAGUCUUGUCAAAGUUUACUGUGUAUGUGAAUCACUGCGGAGCGUAUUAAAAAUUCACAUUAUCUUACUCCCACCAGAAGAUCUGAUUCAGUAGGUCUGUGAUGGAACUAGCUCACAAUUUACAUUGUUUUAAACAGUCACCCUGAGUAAUUCUAGUGUAAGUAUUUUAAUUCUGUACUGAGAAACCUGCAGUGAGAUUUUAAUAUUUUUACACUAAACGGUAAGUAAUAAUUAUACAAAUCUGCUCAUUGAAGAAGUUACCUGUUUUCUCUGCAUGCUUGAGCUGGUUUUUAUGUGUCUCUAUCAAGGAUGGGAAGGCCAGCCUGCAGUGAUACCCCUUGGAACCCUUGCAGUGUAGAAACUACCACACCUCUCAACUUUUAUCUCUUUUCCUCACUCCAUUUCUCCCCACCACUUCUCCUAAUGUUUUCUUCUUUCUAUGCAAGUGUUAAUCUCCCACUCUGGUUCCUUCUAUGCCUAGUACUGUAUCAACAUCCAGGUGCUUCCCCUUCCUUUCUCCACCCCACCCCCCAGCCAGAUAUGUCAAUUGUAUUGAAAACAACUUACAUCUAGUUUACUAAGUACAAACUUGUGCUGGUUAAUGCUUCUCAAAAAGUAGGAGUGGGCUGUUUGUUGAGAUCAACAAUCAUUUUUUUAAAAAUCCGAUAUGGAAAUUUUUGUGUCAAGUUUCACUGUCAUUUAGUUCUUGACUGAUUUUCUUCUGAUGGGUUAGUAGCUCUCAACAGAAGAUUUUAAAAGUCCCCUGCUCAGGUACCUGUCCUGCCGAUAGAGCUGGGGUGUACCCUGCACCCUGACUCAACAUUGCUUGUCUCCACAUGCCUGUAAAUGGGCUUGGGUGGCUUUCUCAGGCUACACACCUGUCACUUCUUAGUCACCCAGAAUCAAAAUAUUAACAGCUCUGAUCACAUUUUCUGAACCUAUGAGGCUUUAUUUCAAGAGUGGUGACACUCCAAAAUGCAGCUAGGAUUUCCGCAUUUUCACGUGUUAGUGUUGAAAUCAUUUUUACUUCAGGAAACCAAGGGUUGGACAAUGGCUUCCAGACUUUCUCCUUUCGUUAUGCUCCUUCAGCGCCUUAUGCAAAUACCGGUUGUCUUAUGCUGCCAUUCGUCUCCUCUGCCAGAAUGUGAGGUCCGCGACAGCAGGGAUAAGAAUGCAUUCAUUUUUAUAUCUGCAGUGCCUUGGAGAGUGUCUGACACAUAGUGGGCACUCAUUUAGAAACCACCAAUUGAAUCAUUAAGGUGACCAAAAACAGGGUGGGGGAAAUACGUCCAUCAGACAACAGGGAAAUAUUUCUUAAAAAAAAAAUUUCCCAAAACUAGCUUUUCCCUCCUUAUGUGUCUGAAAUAUCUCAUAAAAUUUUAAACUAUCCCUUUCAGCACAAAUCUGCCUGGAGCUGUUUCCUGAACACAGGACCAAAAGGCAGGAAUCAAAAGUAGUAAUGAGUUUAGUUAUCUGUCUGUUACUGAAGGUGACUUCUAGGGCAUCCUCCUGGCAUUGCUUCUGGAAUACAGUGACUUAGACUUAUUCGGAAGAACAUCUCUAUGCUGUUCAUCACAUCGCCAGCACCUAGCCCUGUGCCUGUGCAUAGUAAAUGCUCAGAAAAGAAAAAACAACAAAGUUUCCAGCUCUUACUCUAGAUUGACACUGGACCUUGGAGAUGCUUGCAGCCACUAAAUGUAAUGCCACAUGAUUGUUGACCCAACAAUAAUCCAGUUAAAAAACAGUCUUCAGAGUUACUACAUCAUCAGAAUUAACCCUGAUUACAUCAAAUUAUGUUGAAACAGACCACAGCUGUUUGCCCUGUUGAAGCAACUGCUUGAGAGCUCCUCCGGAAGAUACAUCUGGGUGUCACUAAGAUACAUUUUGGGUUUAGUUUUGUUUCUCAACACAAAUGUAGGAGGGAAACAAACCCUGUUCUGCUGGGGUGCCUGGUGGGAGCUGAAAACCUUGUGAUUCUCCAGCAGUCAAAAGUCAUCUCAAUUACCAAAGAGAAGGGAACCUGAGAUCUUUUGUUUCAGUUUUCUAUAGGAAGGAUGUAAGAGGAAGGAAAUUCAAAUCUGUUGAGUAUUGCUCUUGCCAGCAAAAAGAAGUGGAACUGACUAGUGAGAUGGUGGUGAGAUUUUCUUUGGUGGCUGUGUGCAGUGGUAUCAACCCAGGAGAGUAGACUGUUCAAUUGUGAAGAAUUUUGCAAGAUGGUUGUUAAAGUAGAACAUCGUUAAAAUUAAGUUGUAAUAAAAAAAGGGAAAUAAGCAUUGGAAAAGAUGUGGACAGAUUGGAACCCUCAUACAUUGCUGAUGGGAAUGUAAAAUGGUGUAGCCACUGUGGAAAAAAGGUCAGCAGUUCCUUAAAAAGUUAAACAGUGUCACCAUAUGACUCAGCAUUUUCACUCCUAGAUAAAUACGUAGAUUGAAAACGUAUGUCCACACAAAAACUUGUACAGGAAUGAUCGCAACAGCAUUAUUCAUAAUAGCCAAAAAGUGGAAACAACUGUAAUGUUCAUCAGCUGAUGAAUGGAUAAAAUGCGGUAUAUAAAGAACUGUCAAGUGCUUCAACAUGGAUGAAACUUGAAAACAUUAUACAAAGCGAAAGAGGUUAGACACACAGGUCACAUAUUGUAUGAAUAUGGUUAUGUGAAAUGUCUAGAAUUGGCAAAUCCAUAGAGAUGAAAAGUAGGUUAGCGGUUGCCAGCUGAUGGGAUUGGGGGAAUGGAGAGUUGCUAAUGGAUAUGGUGUUUCUUUUGGGGUAAUGAAAAUGUUCUGGAAUUAGAUAGCUGUGGUGGUUGUCAAAGUUGAUGAAUAUAUUAGAAACCAUGAAUUAUAAACUUUAACAUGGUGACUUUUGUGAUACGUGAAUAUCUUAAUUAAAAAUUAAGUUAUAUAAACUUAUAAUUAAAUAAGUUAUAUUAAAAAGAAAGGUAGUAACUACCCCAAACUCAUCACUUGGCUAAUUACAUUUUACUAUUGUGUUCUUGGUGUUAUUUAUGUCUAUUGUGUCUUUAUGUUGGAAAUACUAAAUAAUGGUGUAUUACUGUGUAUCUCUUAACUCUGUAUUCAAGGACAUUAACUUGAUAGCUUAAAACUGGCCAUGGCUGGCAGAGUAUUUAUGCCACAACAGUUGGCAUAUACUGUAAAUCAAGGCACCCACCAACACCACCAGGGAGCCAAUUUUAAAAUAUUUGCCAGCACAUCAUUGGCUAUAUUGUCGGACAAUCAUCUUGGGUAAUUCUGGUAGAAUUAUAUAGUUAGAUGAGGUGAAAUCCUGAGGCCUCUAGGUUCCCAGCAAAACAAAGACUAGCAAGCCUGCACAGUUACUAUGCAAUUUAUCAGGUGCAGAAGGAAAUGACGUUUCUGGUCAUCUGUUGAAUAAAGCCACUUUGAGUUCAGGGGACAUGGUUUUCUCCAGCUUCACUAGUGUUGCAUCUGGUACAAGGGGUUAAGUGCUAAACCCCUGUAGGAUUGUCACAGUGAAGCCAGAUAACAGAGUAACCGCAAAGAGAUUUAAUUCUGUAGUCCCACAAAGGAGGGUGUGUAAAGAGUGUACAACAGUGUCAGAGUUUGGAAACCAAGGGUUGACAAAGUUGGUUCUCUGGAAUCUGGGGGUACCAGUUAAAAGGUUAAAAGGAGUCAUUGUUUUCUGAAACUAUCCAAGAGUUACAGCCAUGUUUUUUUGUUUUUGUUUUUGUUUUUAAGAUUUCGGGGGAAUCUUAUUUUCUCACAUGUUUCUGGAAUUUUUCUUUUUUUUUUAAUUUAAGUUCCAGGGUACAUGUGCAGGAUGUGCAGGUUUGUUACAUAGGUAAAUGUGUGCUAUGGUGGUGUGCUGCACCUAUCAACCCAUGACCAAGGUAUUAAGCUCAGCAAGCAUUAGCUAUUUUUCCUAAUGCUCUCCCUCCCCCAACCCCCUACCCACUCACAGGUCCCAGUGUGUGUUUCCCUCCCUGUGUCCUGUGUUCUCGUUGUUCAGCUCCCACUUAUAAGUGAGAACAUGCGGUGUUUGGUUUUCUGUUCCUGUGUUAGUUUGAUGAGGAUAACGCCUUCCAGCUCCAUCCAUGUCCCUGCAAAGGACAUGAUCUCGUUCCUUUCUAUGUCGAGUUACAACCAUUUUUAAAAGUGGAACUGCACAGGAUUACCUCAGCCUGCUAAGUCCUUCCAGCUAGGCCGUCCCUGUGGGUUUAAACGCAAUGUAAAGAAAGUGGAUGUUAAGUGUUCUUACCACAAAAAUGAUAACUAUAUUAGUUAAUGCAUUUGUUAGUUAGCUAGAUUUAACCAUCCCACAGUGUAUUUUAUGUAUUUGUAUUUAUAUUUCAAAACAUCAUAUUGUACAUAAUAAACACAUCGAUGUUAUCUGA
RNAcentral lists this long non-coding RNA (5282 nucleotides) under Homo sapiens (human). RNAcentral's name for it is "HSALNT0364001". The record is from RNAcentral. Lineage: Eukaryota; Metazoa; Chordata; Mammalia; Primates; Hominidae.